Molecule: ribosomal RNA, 484 nt
Filed under: uncultured bacterium
Lineage: Bacteria
Description: partial 16S ribosomal RNA
Rfam family: Bacterial small subunit ribosomal RNA
Source: RNAcentral
AUUGAACGCUGGCGGCAGGCCUAACACAUGCAAGUCGAGCGGAUGAAGGGAGCUUGCUCCUGGAUUCAGCGGCGGACGGGUGAGUAAUGCCUAGGAAUCUGCCUGGUAGUGGGGGAUAACGUCCGGAAACGGGCGCUAAUACCGCAUACGUCCUGAGGGAGAAAGUGGGGGAUCUUCGGACCUCACGCUAUCAGAUGAGCCUAGGUCGGAUUAGCUAGUUGGUGGGGUAAAGGCCUACCAAGGCGACGAUCCGUAGCUGGUCUGAGAGGAUGAUCAGUCACACUGGAACUGAGACACGGUCCAGACUCCUACGGGAGGCAGCAGUGGGGAAUAUUGGACAAUGGGCGAAAGCCUGAUCCAGCCAUGCCGCGUGUGUGAAGAAGGUCUUCGGAUUGUAAAGCACUUUAAGUUGGGAGGAAGGGCAGUAAGUUAAUACCUUGCUGUUUUGACGUUACCAACAGAAUAAGCACCAGCUAACUUCGUG